UACAGAGGUGCCAAGCGUUAGGCGGAAUCACUGGGCUUAAAGCGCGUGUAGGUGGACGGGUAAGUAUCUUGUGAAAUCCCGCAGCUCAACUGCGGAACUGCGUCGGAUACUAUUCGGCUUGAGGAAUGGAGGGGAGACUGGAAUUCUCGGUGUAGCAGUGAAAUGCGUAGAUAUCGAGAGGAACACCAGUGGCGAAGGCGAGUCUCUGGACAUUUCCUGACGCUGAGGCACGAAAGCCAGGGGAGCAAACGGG
RNAcentral lists this ribosomal RNA (253 nucleotides) under uncultured bacterium. Its description in RNAcentral is "partial 16S ribosomal RNA". It matches the Rfam family "Bacterial small subunit ribosomal RNA", at positions 524 to 776 of the family's 1533-position model. The record is from RNAcentral.